Ictidomys tridecemlineatus (thirteen-lined ground squirrel) is the source of this 757-nucleotide non-coding RNA. The record is from RefSeq and is a predicted model, not a curated record. NCBI's taxonomy places the organism in Eukaryota, Metazoa, Chordata, Mammalia, Rodentia, Sciuridae.
GGCACUUCCCCCGCAUGAGGCUCUGUGGCUAGGUGUUCACUGGCUUCCCCUUUUUUCAUCUUCUCCGCAAUCCUAGGGAAUGGGAGUUAUUAUCAUGAUUUCUGCUAGAGAGAGGCAAAUGGAAAAAGAAGGAGGUGAAAUCAUUGGCCAAGAUUCCAUUUCUAAGAAGCAGUAGAGGGGUCAAUUCCAACUCUCCUCAGCCUGUCCACAAAGUUGGGGCUGCAAACACUUUUGAUGAUGUUUGAUGAUUUAUAGGGAAAAGGGCCGUGCCACCCUCAUGACCAGAGGGAGAUAAGGGGACCACAGGGAGAUAAGGCACACAUACUGGAAAGGACUUGCUACCACGUGGAGCCCACUCCCUCAGACUGGCUAUUCCAGACAGGAGGAAGACUGUUGAAAAGUGGGAAGCAUUUGUAGCAUAAAUAGAACAAUUAAAUCAGGACAGACCUUGCUGCUUCACAAAUGGGCCUGGUGGAACCAUGGGCAAGCCUGUUCUCACUACAGUGGAUUCCAACUCUCCUCACUACAGAGGCUGAAGAAUGGCCACUCCCCAAUUCUGGUCAUUGAAGAAUGCUAAGAACUGCUGCCACCAACUUGAAAGCAGCUUCAGAAAGACACCAACUGAUGAUGCAGAGAGGUAGAGAGAAACUGGUCCUGAGUGCCACUGUGGAAUGGCUGACUCAACCAGCCUUGGACCCGCCCUGCCCCCCUGGAAUUCCUGAUAUGUGAGAUAAUAAACUCCCUAUUGUUUAAGCCA